CCGCAAUUGGGAUUUUCGAAAUCGGUUCUAAUUGUGGAUUUUUGAAAUCCCUAAUUGUGAAUUUUUUGAAAUUGUUAAUCCCUAAUUGCGUUGUGGAUUUAGUAUGAAAUUGUUUAAUCUGGAAUUUCACAACACCUAAUUGCUGCCUAGUUAGAAUACUCGGUCCCUAAUUGGAUAUGUUGAAAAAUUUUGCUAAAAAAGUUUCUAAUCGUGUAUUUGUCCAUUGUUCUUCCCUAAUCGGAAGUGGCAGCGAUGGCGGUAGGAUGGAAUGAUGCAAUACCACCAAGCUUUCCAAACAGAGUAACCAACUCAAAAAACCCUUCACACAGGAGGAACUGUAGGGUCCUGAUGCAUUACGUGGGGCCAUGAUACGAUCAUCCUGACCGUUGAUGCAAUGGGACCGAUCAGCCCUAAAAUGGACCACCUUAAAAGAUCCGAACCCUUAUAUCCCACCUAGGAAAUGUUUAGGGGCAUUCCCAUAUAGAUCAACCGCCUGGAUCAUCGAACCAUGGGCCCCAUAAGUAGCAACAAAUUCAAACCUGGGAAACUUAUGAGGCAUCUCCAUCCACGGUGGGUCCAUUAGAUUAACGGUUUGGAUCAUUGAAUCAUGGCUCCACGUAUACCAAAUGAGCUCUUCCUGACACUAUUCAUGUCCUGGUGCAUCAGGACCUUAGAACUACACAGACGGACAUGGAGAUAAGGGGAUUUACUUGAUACUCUGGAGAAUGUCCCUGAUAUCCCUACUAGCGAAUCUCCUCCAGAGAGACCAGGAGAACCUGACUGUACAUAGUUCUUGAAGACACAAAGGUGCAAGAUCGGUUUUAGACGCAAGUUCAACCAUCCAAAAGAUAAAGUUGAAGUUCUAAAUGCAUAUGUAGGUGGUACUUCUGCAGAAGUUAUUGGAUCCACUUCAUUCUUGCCCCUAUGAGAAUUUUGACACUUACUCUAAUAUAUGGAUCAUGCGAUAGCAGGUUGCAUCAGAAACUGCUGAUGCUUCAGAAGUUCUAAAUCUGUUGAUUUCAAAUUUAUUUUUCUAUUGACUCGGAACUCAAGAGUCCAAUCGUAUUGAAUCACCAGUUGAUUUUGAAUUUAUUUUUCUUCAACUUUGAUUUGCACUAUGUAGGUGCAUAAUCAUAUCAUUUGCCUUUUCGAA
Molecule: long non-coding RNA, 1153 nt
Organism: Magnolia sinica
Lineage: Eukaryota; Viridiplantae; Streptophyta; Magnoliopsida; Magnoliales; Magnoliaceae
Exons: 4
Source: RefSeq, a predicted model, not a curated record